RNAcentral lists this ribosomal RNA (253 nucleotides) under uncultured bacterium. RNAcentral's name for it is "partial 16S ribosomal RNA". It matches the Rfam family "Bacterial small subunit ribosomal RNA", at positions 524 to 776 of the family's 1533-position model. The record is from RNAcentral.
UACAGAGACUGCAAGCGUUAUUCGGAUUCACUGGGCGUAAAGGGUGCGCAGGCGGCCGAGUGUGUGAGGCGUGAAAGCCCGGGGCUUAACCCCGGAAUUGCACCUCAAACUACACGGCUAGAGCAUUGGAGAGGGUAGCAGAAUUCAUGGUGUAGCAGUGAAAUGCGUAGAUAUCAUGAGGAAUACCAGAGGCGAAGGCGGCUACCUGGACAAUUGCUGACGCUGAGGCGCGAAAGCUAGGGGAGCGAACGGG